RNAcentral lists this long non-coding RNA (207 nucleotides) under Lathyrus oleraceus (garden pea). RNAcentral describes it as "Pisum sativum (pea) long non-coding RNA (PSAT_LNC001593)". Lineage: Eukaryota; Viridiplantae; Streptophyta; Magnoliopsida; Fabales; Fabaceae. The record is from RNAcentral.
AAAUACGCAUCAAAGCAGCAGAACAUAACUGCCAAAAAAAAACAGAGCAUCUAUCAACACAUCAAAGAAAAAAACAUCAUCUCAUGAAUGGGGGGCAACUUCAAAAGAGCUAAUCAGAGGAGCUUGAGCUUGCAGCUUCAUCAGCAUCAGAAACAGAAUUGCCACUUGUCUCAUCAUUAGUUGCAGACCUCUCACUAGAGGUUUGGG